UAAGGUCACAAGUUCAAACCGAACAUAGAGA
This 31-nucleotide non-coding RNA is filed under the name Mus musculus (house mouse). The record is from RNAcentral. Lineage: Eukaryota; Metazoa; Chordata; Mammalia; Rodentia; Muridae.